UCUCUCCGCCCCAACCGCCUCCGCCCGUUGCACCUUCCCGCUGUCGCCCCCAUCACACCUUCAAGAACGCCCCCACCCAUCGCCUCCUCCUGCACAGCCUGGCCGCCCGGCGGGACGCCGCCUCCUAAUAGACCUACUGGCCGGCCAUCGAGGACGCCCACCCAUUACCUCGCCUCGGACGCCGGCCGUCGGGGAUGGCGCCUCCUGCAUCGCCUGGCCGGCCGGCGGGACGCCGCCUCCCACUACACCUUCUGGCCGGCCGUCGGGGACACCGCCCCUACUACAUCGCCCGGCCGACCGUCGGGGAGGCCGCCUCCUCCAACGCUGCCUCCCCACCAUCCAACGAUGCCGCCGCCCUUCACCGCGUCGGCCGCUGCCCUCACUCCGACGCUGCGAGCUGCGGCGCCAUCGCCCUUCACCGCGUCGCCCGCUGCCCUCACUCCGACGUUGCAAGCCGCCUAACCGGCCUGAUCCACUCGAUCUGGAUUGCCAACCCUCCAGACUUUCUUUGAUAUGGUUGGGAAGAAUGCAGACGGUUGGAUCACCGAAGAGGAGCUCAAAGAGUUGACAAAUGAGCUCGAAGAAUGUUGUCACGAGUCCUUACUCGGCACGGCCUCUACAAACAACUCACCAAGAUCCUCGAGUGCGUCGAGGAGUACACGGUGUUGAUCAUGGAGGAGCUCGACCCCAACCAGAACGGUUACAUCGAGGUCCGUCCUUUUUCAC
Triticum aestivum (bread wheat) is the source of this 726-nucleotide long non-coding RNA. RefSeq lists it as uncharacterized. The transcript is spliced from 3 exons. Lineage: Eukaryota; Viridiplantae; Streptophyta; Magnoliopsida; Poales; Poaceae. The record is from RefSeq and is a predicted model, not a curated record.